This 388-nucleotide ribosomal RNA is filed under the name uncultured bacterium. RNAcentral's name for it is "bacterial SSU rRNA". It matches the Rfam family "Bacterial small subunit ribosomal RNA", at positions 28 to 416 of the family's 1533-position model. The record is from RNAcentral.
GACGAACGCUGGCGGCGUGCUUAACACAUGCAAGUCGAGCGGUAAGGCCCUUUCGGGGGUACGACGAGCGGCGAACGGGUGAGUAACACGUGGGUGACCUGCCUCUAGCUCUGGGAUAAGCCUGGGAAGCUGGGUCUAAUACCGGAUAUGACCUCGCGGUGCAUGUUGCGGGGUGGAAAGCCCUGUGCGGCUAGGGAUGGGCCCGCGGCCUAUCAGCUUGUUGGUGGGGUGANGGCCUACCAAGGCGACGACGGGUAGCCGGCCUGAGAGGGAGACCGGCCACACUGGGACUGAGACACGGCCCAGACUCCUACGGGAGGCAGCAGUGGGGAAUCUUGCGCAAUGGGCGAAAGCCUGACGCAGCGACGCCGCGUGAGGGAUGACGGCC